Molecule: ribosomal RNA, 253 nt
Filed under: uncultured bacterium
Lineage: Bacteria
Description: partial 16S ribosomal RNA
Rfam family: Bacterial small subunit ribosomal RNA
Source: RNAcentral
UACAGAGACUGCAAGCGUUAUUCGGAUUCACUGGGCAUAAAGGGUGCGCAGGCGGCCAAGUGUGUCAGGUGUGAAAUCCCGAGGCUUAACCUCGGAACUGCGCCUGAAACUACUUGGCUAGAGUACUGGAGAGGGUAACGGAAUUCACGGUGUAGCAGUGAAAUGCGUAGAUAUCGUGAGGAACACCAGAGGCGAAGGCGGUUACCUGGACAGUUACUGACGCUCAGGCACGAAAGCGUGGGGAGCAAAAGGG